Fukomys damarensis (Damara mole-rat) is the source of this 577-nucleotide long non-coding RNA. RefSeq lists it as uncharacterized. The record is from RefSeq and is a predicted model, not a curated record. NCBI's taxonomy places the organism in Eukaryota, Metazoa, Chordata, Mammalia, Rodentia, Bathyergidae. The transcript has 3 exons.
UCCUCACGCACUCACCCAUCCCAUGCCAGAUCACCAACGGCAACGGCAAGGGUAGAUCAGUACGCCCCAGCGCCCGAGCGUGGCAGGACCACGGCAGGAGAGCGGCAGCCAAGAGCCACAGGGAGCCGGGCGACGCCAUCUUGCCUCAAUCAUCCUCCCAAGGGCCGCUCCCAUCCAGGUGCUGCUGCCUGGGGCUUCUGCGCUGCCAAGGUGAAUCGAAAGGAUUGCUCGCGUUUGUAUAAGGCUUACUGCAUAUCGGCCACUCUUCUAAAUGCCUUACAUCCUUUCCCUGCUUUACUCCUCCUAACAAGGCUACAUACGUCUCACCAUUUUACAGAUGGUGUUUCCUUCUAUGCGGGACCUUAGAGGAUGUCUUAUAUCACAGAAAAUCCACUACACUAUGGGCCCUUAGAGAAAAAAUUAAAAAUGCAUGUGCAGCAAUCUCCAUGACCAAGGUCACCCAAGUAGCAGUUUGUUGUACUAAUAAAUGUCUGGAAGCUAAUGGUCACCACUUUGAGAAUCUCUCCUAAUUGUAGAGGCCAAAGGUAAGUUCAUGAUGUCUCAGUAAAUUCAGUAU